Long non-coding RNA from Coregonus clupeaformis (lake whitefish), 148 nucleotides. RefSeq lists it as uncharacterized. Lineage: Eukaryota; Metazoa; Chordata; Actinopteri; Salmoniformes; Salmonidae. The transcript has 3 exons. The record is from RefSeq and is a predicted model, not a curated record.
UCAUCUCCACCUCCUCCAAAACCUCUGCAGCUUCCUCCAGAGCACAGAAAAGGAAGAGAAAAGCUCCACCGGUCACAUCUGUCAAGCCACCCAUGACACCACUCUCAGACACCACCUGCUGUGCUCGCUGAAGGGAGCAUGAUCCGCC